UGUACUCAGCAGGCAUGACCGGU
This 23-nucleotide non-coding RNA is filed under the name Arabidopsis thaliana (thale cress). The record is from RNAcentral. Lineage: Eukaryota; Viridiplantae; Streptophyta; Magnoliopsida; Brassicales; Brassicaceae.